GUAGGUGGCAAGCGUUGUCCGGAAUUAUUGGCCGUAAAGCGCGCGCAGGCGGUUCUUUAAGUCUGAUGUGAAAGCCCACGGGCUCAACCGUGGAGGGUCAUUGGAAACUGGAGAACUUGAGUACAGAAGAGGAAAGCGGAAUUCCACGUGUAGCGGUGAAAUGCGUAGAGAUGUGGAGGAACACCAGUGGCGAAGGCGGCUUUCUGGUCUGUAACUGACGCUGAGGCGCGAAAGCGUGGGGAGCAAACAGGAUUAGAUACCCUGGUAGUCCACGCCGUAAACGAUGAGUGCUAAGUGUUAGGGGGUUUCCGCCCCUUAGUGCUGCAGCUAACGCAUUAAGCACUCCGCCUGGGGAGUACGGCCGCAAGGCUG
RNAcentral lists this ribosomal RNA (372 nucleotides) under uncultured organism. Its description in RNAcentral is "partial 16S ribosomal RNA". It matches the Rfam family "Bacterial small subunit ribosomal RNA", at positions 527 to 896 of the family's 1533-position model. The record is from RNAcentral.